RNAcentral lists this ribosomal RNA (460 nucleotides) under uncultured bacterium. RNAcentral describes it as "partial 16S ribosomal RNA". It matches the Rfam family "Bacterial small subunit ribosomal RNA", at positions 338 to 795 of the family's 1533-position model. The record is from RNAcentral.
CCUACGGGAGGCAGCAGUGAGGAAUAUUGGUCAAUGGACGAGAGUCUGAACCAGCCAAGUAGCGUGAAGGAUGACUGCCCUAUGGGUUGUAAACUUCUUUUAUAUGGGAAUAAAAUGUUCCACGUGUGGGAUUUUGUAUGUACCAUAUGAAUAAGGAUCGGCUAACUCCGUGCCAGCAGCCGCGGUAAUACGGAGGAUCCGAGCGUUAUCCGGAUUUAUUGGGUGUAAAGGGAGCGUAGGUGGGUUGUUAAGUCAGUUGUGAAAGUUUGCGGCUCAACCGUAAAAUUGCAGUUGAAACUGGCAGUCUUGAGUACAGUAGAGGUGAGCGGAAUUCGUGGUGUAGCGGUGAAAUGCUUAGAUAUCGCGAAGAACUCCGAUUGCGAAGGCAGUUCACUGGACUGCAACUGACACUGAGGCUCGAAAGUGUGGGUAUCAAACAGGAUUAGAUACCCCAGUAGUC